UACGUAGGUGACCAGCGUUGUCCGGAUUUACUGGGCGUAAAGAGCGCGCAGGCGGUCGUUCAAGUCGAGUGUGAAAGCCCCCGGCUCAACUGGGGAGGGUCACUCGAUACUGAUCGACUUGAAGGCAGGAGAGGGAAGCGGAAUUCCCGGUGUAGUGGUGAAAUGCGUAGAUAUCGGGAGGAACACCGGUGGCGAAGGCGGCGACCUGGGUCGACACUGACGCUGAGGCGCGAAAGCGUGGGGAGCAAACAGG
This 253-nucleotide ribosomal RNA is filed under the name uncultured bacterium. RNAcentral describes it as "partial 16S ribosomal RNA". It matches the Rfam family "Bacterial small subunit ribosomal RNA", at positions 524 to 776 of the family's 1533-position model. The record is from RNAcentral.